This is a long non-coding RNA of Dreissena polymorpha, 2979 nucleotides long. RefSeq lists it as uncharacterized. The transcript has 2 exons. Lineage: Eukaryota; Metazoa; Mollusca; Bivalvia; Myida; Dreissenidae. The record is from RefSeq and is a predicted model, not a curated record.
CUAAAACGCUUCACAAUUUAUCUGUCAAAUCAUUUCUUAUUAUACGAUUUUAUAAUGACAUCAACUGUAGUAACACAUCUUUGAUACAUUUUAGUGCUUAUAUGCUUCUCAAAGUUUUCUACUUUCACUUGAUUUAUUUUUAAGAUGAUUGUAUAACUGUUGAUCAAUUGAUAGCUGAAAGACUGUCAAAUGAAUAUGGAAUUAGGUUGUAGUAGAUACAGUCAAGUUACCAUUACCGGAUUAUUACCCAUAGAGGAUCACUUUCAUGUUCAAGAAUGCGCUUCCCGAUAAAUAUUUGUCAGUUUUGGAUGAUAUUUUGAACACAGCAUUUUCAAUCACAUAUAGAAAACAAUUAUAACAAAAACAAAUGAAUAUAAUUUACAACUGGCAAUGUAAUUUGGGCAUUGUAAACAACACAGUUCAUGUUUCGACAGUUCAAAUAGCGUGGUAGAAGCCCCCUGAGUGGUUUCGAUCACGUGAUCCGUUAUGGCUACAACUGAUCUGUUAAUGCAUGAAUUCUGCUGCGAAAAAAAGGUAUCACAAAUACAUUUUGCCUGCGUUUAAAAAUAAGACUAUAUGCUGAAUCAGCGAGCAAAGGUAAUAUUUAAUCAAACUGAUGUAAAAGAAGUCUCAAAACAUUUAUUGCUUUUCACCAGAACAACUUUAUUACGCUACUGAUCCGGUAAUGGUAACUUGACUGUACAUGUAUUAUAAAAUUUGUGUUAAAAAUCUGUGUGCAAUCCUGUAAUGGACUGUAAGCAAUCGCAAUUCUAUUUGUAACACCAGAAUUAACCCUUUACAUGCUGGGAAAUUUGUCGUCUGCUAAAAUGUCGUCUGCUGAAUUUCUACAAUUAGCAUUUCUUUGAUUUUUUUUUCAAAAAAUACUAUCAGAAUAGCAAACAGUUUGGAUCCAGAUGAGACGCCACGUUCUGUGGCGUCUCAUCUCGAUCCAAACUGUUUGCAAAGGCCUUCAAAAUUUGGUUCCCGCACUGAAAGGAUUAAUGAAUGCGUUAUCAAUGUCAAUUAAGUGUUCAUGAUCAAGUUGAAAUUAAAGCAGUGAUGCGCAAAGAUAUUGAUUCGUUAAAACAAAAAAGAAAUAAAAAAUGUAGAACAACACAAAUUUGGAAGUCACUUUAGAGACUAUAGUUUCCAGUUUUAGACAAUUUAAAGGUUGUCUGCUCAUAUGUUUUGGAAUAUUGGUAAGAUUGUUACCAGAUUCAAUACUUGUGCGGGCAUUUUUUUUUAUUUGUAAUAUAUUAUGUUUAAAUAUAAUUAAAACCACACAUAUAUAUUUUGCAAUAAUUUUAUUAAGGCCUGUAUCUUGUUGUUUCAGUGAAGAACUCCAAUGAUAUACAUGUAGGGGCAUGUUUCCAAAGCUGAUCCACAUCAUAACAUACUGAUUGGGAAUAAUGACAUAGUACCAAAAGAUGUGCUUACACUGUAAUAAGCAGAUCUUCACAAAUGAACCUGGCAGAUCCUGGUGCAACCUUACCUUACCAUGUUUACAUCUAACCGUCAGUUUGAGCUGUGUGUGGGUGGUAACACGGACUAUAUACAUGUAUUGCCCAGUAAUUGUCUUGUGAUGGACCUUUUUAACAUAUCAAGUAUUUAAUUGAAGACUUAAGAGGUCAGUUUUCAUCAAAGAAUUUAAAAAUACAGUUUUUUUGUAAGGGUGAAUAUGUGGUUAUAAUGGCAUUGAUGUAUAUCUUGUGUCUGUUUUUUAAUCAGCCUUUCAUCCAUAAUUAUGAAUAUUAAGCAUGAUAAAGUAUUUUAAGGGAAUAUAAUGUAGAAAUGUUAUGUUGUUUCUGCACAAGCUUUUGAAUACAAGAAAUUCUAUGUUCACUCAGCACUGUUUACACAUUAUCAAUGAAUUUGCUUGUUUUAGUUUCCAAAUCUGUCUGUCUCUAGCUCCCUGUGACUAAUGUACUUUUUUACAUUGCAUCCAUUGAUUUUAAAUGGGGUGUAUUAUGCACAUGUCACACUUUUUUUACAAAAACAUCAAGGUCAAAGGUAAAAUAUAUGGGUCAAAAUCAUAACUUUUGCAAUAUUGAAGAUAGCAACUUGAUAUUUGGCAUGCAUGUGUACCUCAUGGAGCUGCACAUUUUGAGUGGUGAAAGGUCAAGGUCAUCCUUCAAGGUCAAAGGUCAAAUAUAUGGGUCGAAAUCGCUCAAAAAGGGACAUUGUGUAUUGUGUUUUACAAACACAUACCUUGUUAUGUUAUGUAAUGGCCUUUCAAUCAUCUUAUUUUUUUAUGAAAUACGCUGGAUUUGUCUUUUCAUUUCAUCCAUGAUAUCAUUAUGUUUUUUUUGCCUGUUACAUUUUGCGGCCCAAUGUACGUGUUAAGCAGUUUAACCAUUUACAACGGCAUUUGUGGCGAGGCUAACAGUCAUAAGGUUGGUCAUUACAUGCACUGCAUAUCAUAAAAUCGUUUGGCUUUUAUUGACAAAAUUUGCGAAAACGGUGUUAAAGACUAAACAUCACAAGUGUCGCAACUUCGUCCCCACCUGGGAAUUCAGAGCGCAAAUUUCAGAUUAUAAUGUGUCAGAUUUUACACUUGUAUAAUGAAGAAGUCAUCUCUUGACAAGAUGGUGAUGUCCUGAUCUCGUUCCAAGCCACACAUGAUACUUGUUUUGCUUUUAAUCAAAAUCGGUGUUAAAUAGUAAACAUAAAAAGUGUCACAAAUUCGUCCCUAUUGAGAAGUCAGAGCUAAAAUUUCUGAUUUUAAUUUGUCAGAUUUUGCACUUUUAUAAUGAAGAAGUCAUCUCUUGACAAGAUGGUGGUGUCCUUAUCUCGUGCCGAGCCACAAAUGAUUCUUGUUUUGGUUCAAAGCAACAUAUAAACGAAGAUUUUUUAAAUGUACUUUGUUUUAAAUUCUGUUCUUUGAAAAAUGCAUGUACUUUGUUUUUAAUUCUGUUCUUUGAAAAAUGCAUAAUAAGUCAUCAACUAUUAUAAUUUUAUGAAAAUAUUACUUUAAUUUUG